AAAUUGAAGAGUUUGAUCAUGGCUCAGAUUGAACGCUGGCGGCAGGCCUAACACAUGCAAGUCGAGCGGUAGCACAGAGAGCUUGCUCUCGGGUGACGAGCGGCGGACGGGUGAGUAAUGUCUGGGAAACUGCCUGAUGGAGGGGGAUAACUACUGGAAACGGUAGCUAAUACCGCAUAAUGUCGCAAGACCAAAGUGGGGGACCUUCGGGCCUCAUGCCAUCAGAUGUGCCCAGAUGGGAUUAGCUAGUAGGUGGGGUAAUGGCUCACCUAGGCGACGAUCCCUAGCUGGUCUGAGAGGAUGACCAGCCACACUGGAACUGAGACACGGUCCAGACUCCUACGGGAGGCAGCAGUGGGGAAUAUUGCACAAUGGGCGCAAGCCUGAUGCAGCCAUGCCGCGUGUGUGAAGAAGGCCUUCGGGUUGUAAAGCACUUUCAGCGGGGAGGAAGGCGAUAAGGUUAAUAACCUUGGCGAUUGACGUUACCCGCAGAAGAAGCACCGGCUAACUCCGUGCCAGCAGCCGCGGUAAUACGGAGGGUGCAAGCGUUAAUCGGAAUUACUGGGCGUAAAGCGCACGCAGGCGGUCUGUCAAGUCGGAUGUGAAAUCCCCGGGCUCAACCUGGGAACUGCAUUCGAAACUGGCAGGCUAGAGUCUUGUAGAGGGGGGUAGAAUUCCAGGUGUAGCGGUGAAAUGCGUAGAGAUCUGGAGGAAUACCGGUGGCGAAGGCGGCCCCCUGGACAAAGACUGACGCUCAGGUGCGAAAGCGUGGGGAGCAAACAGGAUUAGAUACCCUGGUAGUCCACGCCGUAAACGAUGUCGAUUUGGAGGUUGUGCCCUUGAGGCGUGGCUUCCGGAGCUAACGCGUUAAAUCGACCGCCUGGGGAGUACGGCCGCAAGGUUAAAACUCAAAUGAAUUGACGGGGGCCCGCACAAGCGGUGGAGCAUGUGGUUUAAUUCGAUGCAACGCGAAGAACCUUACCUGGUCUUGACAUCCACAGAACUUAGCAGAGAUGCUUUGGUGCCUUCGGGAACUGUGAGACAGGUGCUGCAUGGCUGUCGUCAGCUCGUGUUGUGAAAUGUUGGGUUAAGUCCCGCAACGAGCGCAACCCUUAUCCUUUGUUGCCAGCGGUUCGGCCGGGAACUCAAAGGAGACUGCCAGUGAUAAACUGGAGGAAGGUGGGGAUGACGUCAAGUCAUCAUGGCCCUUACGACCAGGGCUACACACGUGCUACAAUGGCAUAUACAAAGAGAAGCGACCUCGCGAGAGCAAGCGGACCUCAUAAAGUAUGUCGUAGUCCGGAUUGGAGUCUGCAACUCGACUCCAUGAAGUCGGAAUCGCUAGUAAUCGUAGAUCAGAAUGCUACGGUGAAUACGUUCCCGGGCCUUGUACACACCGCCCGUCACACCAUGGGAGUGGGUUGCAAAAGAAGUAGGUAGCUUAACCUUCGGGAGGGCGCUUACCACUUUGUGAUUCAUGACUGGGGUGAAGUCGUAACAAGGUAACCGUAGGGGAACCUGCGGUUGGAUCACCUCCUUACCUUAAAGAA
This 1550-nucleotide ribosomal RNA is filed under the name Klebsiella pneumoniae. RNAcentral's name for it is "bacterial SSU rRNA". It matches the Rfam family "Bacterial small subunit ribosomal RNA". Lineage: Bacteria; Pseudomonadati; Pseudomonadota; Gammaproteobacteria; Enterobacterales; Enterobacteriaceae. The record is from RNAcentral.